This 605-nucleotide ribosomal RNA is filed under the name uncultured bacterium. RNAcentral's name for it is "bacterial SSU rRNA". It matches the Rfam family "Bacterial small subunit ribosomal RNA", at positions 331 to 929 of the family's 1533-position model. The record is from RNAcentral.
CCAGACUCCUACGGGAGGCAGCAGUAGGGAAUCUUCCGCAAUGGGCGAAAGCCUGACGGAGCAACGCCGCGUGAGUGAAGAAGGAUUUCGGUUCGUAAAGCUCUGUUGUUAGGGAAGAAUGAUUGUGUAGUAACUAUACACAGUAGAGACGGUACCUAACCAGAAAGCCACGGCUAACUACGUGCCAGCAGCCGCGGUAAUACGUAGGUGGCAAGCGUUGUCCGGAAUUAUUGGGCGUAAAGCGCGCGCAGGUGGUUUAAUAAGUCUGAUGUGAAAGCCCACGGCUCAACCGUGGAGGGUCAUUGGAAACUGUUAAACUUGAGUGCAGGAGAGAAAAGUGGAAUUCCUAGUGUAGCGGUGAAAUGCGUAGAGAUUAGGAGGAACACCAGUGGCGAAGGCGGCUUUUUGGCCUGUAACUGACACUGAGGCGCGAAAGCGUGGGGAGCAAACAGGAUUAGAUACCCUGGUAGUCCACGCCGUAAACGAUGAGUGCUAAGUGUUGGUCUCAUAAGAGAUCAGUGCUGCAGCUAACGCAUUAAGCACUCCGCCUGGGGAGUACGACCGCAAGGUUGAAACUCAAAGGAAUUGACGGGGGCCCGCACAAG